AAAUCUCAACCUCUUCGGUUUCUUUCGAACACCGAAGGAGGCUUGGACUUUGGAGGGCUUUGCUGGACUUGAAAGGCCAGCUCCUCUCAAAUGAAUUAGCGAUGUUCCCUUUGCCGAUCCUCGACGUGUGAUAAGACGCUUACCACGUCACGGUCUUUGGCUCUUGUUGGGACCUGCUUCCAAUCGUCUCUCUACGAGACAACGUUCGAGCACGCCUCGACCACGUAC
Molecule: unclassified non-coding RNA, 228 nt
Filed under: uncultured Lactarius
Lineage: Eukaryota; Fungi; Basidiomycota; Agaricomycetes; Russulales; Russulaceae
Description: sequence contains ITS2
Source: RNAcentral